This 229-nucleotide ribosomal RNA is filed under the name uncultured bacterium. RNAcentral describes it as "partial 16S ribosomal RNA". It matches the Rfam family "Bacterial small subunit ribosomal RNA", at positions 568 to 796 of the family's 1533-position model. The record is from RNAcentral.
UACGUAGGCGGAAAAUUAAGUCAGUAGUGAAAUCCUGCAGCUUAACUGUAGAACUGUUAUUGAUACUGGUUUUCUUGAAUAUAGUUGAGGUAGGCGGAAUGUGUAAUGUAGCGGUGAAAUGCUUAGAUAUUACAUAGAACACCGAUUGCGAAGGCAGCUUACUAAGCUAUGAUUGACGCUGAGGUACGAAAGCGUGGGGAGCGAACAGGAUUAGAUACCCUGGUAGUCC